RNAcentral lists this ribosomal RNA (492 nucleotides) under uncultured bacterium. RNAcentral describes it as "partial 16S ribosomal RNA". It matches the Rfam family "Bacterial small subunit ribosomal RNA", at positions 30 to 507 of the family's 1533-position model. The record is from RNAcentral.
AGUGAACGCUGGCGGUAGGCCUAACACAUGCAAGUCGAACGGCAGCACAGUAAGAGCUUGCUCUUACGGGUGCCGAGUGGCGGACGGGUGCGGAAUACAUCGGUAUCUACUUUUUCGUGGGGGAUAACGUAGGGAAACUUACGCUAACACCGCAUACGACCUACGGGUGAAAGCUGCGGAUCUUCGGACCUUGCGCGAUCGAAUGAGCCGAGGUCGGAUUAGCUAGUUGGCGGGGUAAAGGCCCACCAAGGCGACGAGCCGUAGCUGGUCUGAGAGGAUGAGCAGGAACACUGGAAAUGAGACAAGGACGAGACUACUACGGGAGGAAGCAGUGGGGAAGAUUGGACAAUGGGCGAAAGCAUGAUCCAGCCAUGGCGCGGGGGUGAAGAAGGUCUUCGGAUUGUAAAGCAUUUUAAGUGGGGAGGAAGGGCAGUAAGGUAAUAACUUGCUGUUUUGACGGGAGCAAAAGAAUAAGCAAAGGCUAACGUCGUG